RNAcentral lists this ribosomal RNA (96 nucleotides) under Klebsiella pneumoniae. The record is from RNAcentral. Lineage: Bacteria; Pseudomonadati; Pseudomonadota; Gammaproteobacteria; Enterobacterales; Enterobacteriaceae.
GGUCCCACCUGACCCCAUGCCGAACUCAGAAGUGAAACGUCGUAGCGCCGAUGGUAGUGUGGGGUCUCCCCAUGUGAGAGUAGGGAACUGCCAGGC